This 2824-nucleotide ribosomal RNA is filed under the name activated sludge metagenome. RNAcentral's name for it is "bacterial LSU rRNA". It matches the Rfam family "Bacterial large subunit ribosomal RNA". The record is from RNAcentral.
AGGGCGCACGGGGGAUGCCUUGGCUCUCAGAGGCGAUGAAGGACGUGAUAAGCUGCGAUAAGCGUCGGGGAGGUGCAAAUAACCUUUGAUCCGGCGAUCUCCCAAUGGGGUAACCCAUCCGUUUGAAGACGGAUAUCUGCUCUAUAGCAGAAGCUAACGCAGGGAACUGAAACAUCUUACUACCUGCAGGAAAAGAAAACAAUAGUGAUUUCCUAAGUAGUGGCGAGCGAACGGGAAAAAGCCCAAACCACAAUUGUUAUGGCAAUUGUGGGGUUGUAGGACUGCCAUCUCAGCCAAAUUACAGAUAUUCGAACACUCCUGGAAAGUGGGGCCAUAGAGGGUGAUAGCCCCGUAGAAAAAAUCUGUAUCCGGCUUCGGCAGUCUCCUGAGUAACGCGAGACCGGAGAAAUCUUGCGCGAAUCUGCCAGCACCAUCUGGUAAGGCUAAAUACUACUGAGAGACCGAUAGCGAAUAAGUACCGUGAGGGAAAGGUGAAAAGUACCCCAAACAGGGGAGUGAAAUAGAACCUGAAACCGUGCGCCUACAAGCGGUCGGAGUCCCAAGCUUGUCGAGGGAUGACGGCGUGCCUUUUGCAUAAUGAGCCUACGAGUUACGCCUCUCUGGCAAGGUUAAUUCCGUUAACGGAUGGAGCCGAAGCGAAAGCAAGUCCUAAUAGGGCGCUGAGUCAGAGGGGGUAGACGCGAAACUUUGUGAUCUACCCAUGGCCAGGCUGAAGUCCCGGUAACACGGGAUGGAGGGCCGAACCGGUAAACGUUGAAACGUCUUCGGAUGAGCUGUGGGUAGGGGUGAAAGGCUAAUCAAACUGAGAGAUAGCUCGUACUCCCCGAAAUGUUUUUAGGAACAGCCUGGGGUCUAUUGUCUUAGAGGUAGAGCUACUGAUUGGAUGAGGGGGUCUCACCGCCUGCCAAAUCCUGACAAACUCCGAAUGCUAAGACAUAUUGCCCUGGAGUGAGGCCGUGGGUGCUAAGGUCCAUGGCCGAGAGGGAAACAACCCAGAUCAUCAGCUAAGGUCCCUAAAUGUAUGUUCAGUUGUUCUAACGAGGUCUGAUUGCAUUGACAGCUAGGAUGUUGGCUCGGAAGCAGCCAUUCAUUUAAAGAGUGCGUAACAGCUCACUAGUCGAGCGAUCGGGCGUGGAUAAUAAUCGGGCAUAAACAUACUACCGAAGCUAUGAAACUCUCCUUUAUGGAGAGUUGGUAGGGGAGCAUUCCAGUCUGCACCGAAGGCCCAUCGUAAGAUGAGCUGGAGCGUCUGGAAAAGAAAAUGUAGGCAUAAGUAACGAUAAUUCCGGUGAAAAACCGGAACACCGAAAGACUAAGGUUUCCUGAUCAACGCUAAUCGGAUCAGGGUUAGUCGGGACCUAAGGCGUACCCAAACGGGAUAGCUAAUGGACAUCAGGUUAAUAUUCCUGUACUUCCUUACAGUGCUAGGUAGGGACGUGAUCAUCAGGUGCUUACGUACUGACGGAAUAGUGCGUCGAGCCUAGCCUUUGGGCGAAGCAAAAGCAAGUAGUGUUCACCAAGAAAAGCUACCAAAGCUUCAGCUGUAAGGAACUCGUACCGCAAACCGACACAGGUAGUCGAGGAGAAUAUCCAUAGGUGCUCGAGUGAUUCAUGGCUAAGGAACUAGGCAAAUUGACCCUGUAACUUCGGAAGAAAGGGUCCCUGCUUCGGCAGGGCGCAGAGAAAUGGCCCAGGCGACUGUUUAACAAAAACACAUGGCUUUGCUAAAUCGAAAGAUGAUGUAUAAGGCCUGACACCUGCCCGGUGCUGGAAGGUUAAGGGGAGAGGUUAGCCCUCAAGGCGAAGCUUCAAACUGAAGCCCCAGUAAACGGCGGCCGUAACUAUAACGGUCCUAAGGUAGCGAAAUUCCUUGUCGGGUAAGUUCCGACCUGCACGAAUGGUGUAACGAUCUGGGCACUGUCUCAGCCAUGAGCUCGGUGAAAUUGUAGUAGCGGUGAAGAUGCCGCUUACCCGCAACGGGACGGAAAGACCCCGUGAACCUUUACUAUAGCUUAACAUUGACUCUGGAUAAAUGAUGUGUAGGAUAGGUGGGAGACUGUGAAGUCCCAACGCUAGUUGGGAUGGAGUCAACCUUGAAAUACCACCCUUCGUUUAUUCGGAGCCUAAUCCCCCUUAAGGGAAACAGUGUUUGGUGGGUAGUUUGACUGGGGUGGUCGCCUCCAAAAACGUAACGGAGGCUCUCAAAGGUACCCUCAGCACGCUUGGUAACCGUGCGUCGAGUGCAAUGGCAUAAGGGUGCUUGACUGCGAGACUUACUAGUCGAACAGGUAGGAAACUAGGACAUAGUGAUCCGGUGGUCCCAUAUGGAAGGGCCAUCGCUCAAAGGAUAAAAGGUACUCCGGGGAUAACAGGCUGAUCGCUCCCAAGAGCUCAUAUCGACGGAGCGGUUUGGCACCUCGAUGUCGGCUCGUCACAUCCUGGGGCUGGAGAAGGUCCCAAGGGUUGGGCUGUUCGCCCAUUAAAGUGGCACGCGAGCUGGGUUCAGAACGUCGUGAGACAGUUCGGUCCCUAUCUGUUGUGGGCGUAGGAAGUUUGAGGGGACCCGACCUUAGUACGAGAGGACCGGGUUGGACAAACCGCUGGUGUACCUGCUGUGGCGCCUAGCUGCACCGCAGGGUAGCUACGUUUGGUCGAGAGAAGUGCUGAAAGCAUCUAAGUACGAAACUCACCCCAAGAUGAGACUUCCAUUGAGGGCCCUUGUAGACCACAAGGUCGAUAGGCUGCAGGUGUAAAGAUGGUAACAUCCGCGCCAAGCAGUACUAAUAGCCCAAUACUUUCCCCC